RNAcentral lists this ribosomal RNA (471 nucleotides) under uncultured Rhodobacter sp. Its description in RNAcentral is "bacterial SSU rRNA". It matches the Rfam family "Bacterial small subunit ribosomal RNA", at positions 8 to 525 of the family's 1533-position model. The record is from RNAcentral. Lineage: Bacteria; Pseudomonadati; Pseudomonadota; Alphaproteobacteria; Rhodobacterales.
AGAGUUUGAUCAUGGCUCAGAACGAACGCUGGCGGCAGGCCUAACACAUGCAAGUCGAGCGAAGUCUUCGGACUUAGCGGCGGACGGGUGAGUAACGCGUGGGAACGUACCCUUUGGUACGGAAUAGCCCCGGGAAACUGGGAGUAAUACCGUAUGGUGUCUUCGGACUAAAGAUUUAUCGCCAAAGGAUCGGCCCGCGUUGGAUUAGGUAGUUGGUGGGGUAAUGGCCUACCAAGCCGACGAUCCAUAGCUGGUUUGAGAGGAUGAUCAGCCACACUGGGACUGAGACACGGCCCAGACUCCAACGGGAGGCAGCAGUGGGGAAUCUUAGACAAUGGGCGCAAGCCUGAUCUAGCCAUGCCGCGUGAGUGAUGAAGGCCCUAGGGUUGUAAAGCUCUUUCAGCUGGGAAGAUAAUGACGGUACCAGCAGAAGAAGCCCCGGCUAACUCCGUGCCAGCAGCCGCGGUAAUA